AUAAUCCCAUCAAUCCCUCACUAAUCCCAUCAAUCAUCCCAUUAAUCAGUAAUCUCAUUAGUCAAUCAAUAAUCCCAUCAAAAAUCCCAUCAGUCUGUCACUAAUCCCAUCAAUCAUUCCAUUAAUCCAUCAAUAAUCCCAUCAAUCCCUCACUAAUCUCAUAAAUAAUCCCAUCAAUCAAUAAUCCCAUCAAUCCAUCAAUAAUCCCAUCAAUUAAUCACUAAUCGCAUUGAUUAGCCUAAUUUUCCUUCCAUCCCUGUGGCGUCCACCAGCCAACCCCCAAGCGUCCUACCGGGUAGCCACAGCGACACUCUCCUCCCAUUGGCUCCUGGACCUCAGGCGGCUGCAGCGGCGGCGGCAGCGGCUCAGAAUGGUUUCACAGCCCAACCGGCCACGUAUCACCACAACAGCGGAGGAAGUGGAGGUUGGAGCGGAAGUCGCGGUGCUGCAUAUCCUUCUGCCAUCCCCCAUCAUCAGAACGGUCACCUGCAGCAUCAUCCGCCUCUGCAUCCAGGGCAUUACUGUGAGUAUGGGGAAGGAAAUGGGAAGGGGAAGGGGAAGGUGGAAGGGGAAGCG
Molecule: non-coding RNA, 576 nt
Organism: Meleagris gallopavo (turkey)
Lineage: Eukaryota; Metazoa; Chordata; Aves; Galliformes; Phasianidae
Source: RefSeq, a predicted model, not a curated record